AUUGAACGCUGGCGGCAGGCCUAACACAUGCAAGUCGAGCGAGCGGCGGACGGGUGAGUAAUGUAUGGGGAUCUGCCCGAUAGCGGGGGAUAACUACUGGAAAGGUGGCUAAUACCGCAUACUAUUGGAGCGGCCGAUAUCGGAUUAGCUAGUUGGUGGGGUAACGGCUCACCAAGGCGACGAUCCGUAGCUGGUUUGAGAGGACGACCAGCCACACUGGGACUGAGACACGGCCCAGACUCCUACGGGAGGCAGCAGUGGGGAAUUUUGGACAAUGGGGGAAACCCUGAUCCAGCCAUCCCGCGUGUGCGAUGAAGUCCUUCGGGUUGUAAAGCACUUUUGGCAGGAAAGCGGUACCUGCAGAAUAAGCACCGGCUAACUACGUGCCAGCCGCCGCGGUAAUUC
RNAcentral lists this ribosomal RNA (405 nucleotides) under uncultured bacterium. RNAcentral describes it as "partial 16S ribosomal RNA". It matches the Rfam family "Bacterial small subunit ribosomal RNA", at positions 30 to 526 of the family's 1533-position model. The record is from RNAcentral.